GUGAGGAAUUUUGCGCAAUGGGGGAAACCCUGACGCAGCGACGCCGCGUGGAGGACGAAGUCUUUCGGGAUGUCAACUCCUGUCAGUGGGGACGAUAAUGACGGUACCCACAGAGGAAGCACCGGCUACCUCCGUGCCAGCAGCCGCGGUAAGACGGAGGGUGCAAGCGUUGUUCGGAAUUACUGGGCGUAAAGCGUAUGUAGGCGGCAAGUUAAGUUCAAUGUUAAAGCCCACGGCUCAACCGAGGAGAUGCAUUGAAUACUGGCUAGCUAGAGGGUGUUGGAGGAAGACGGAAUUCCCAGUGUAGCGGUGAAAUGCGUAGAUAUUGGGAGGAACAUCGGUAGCGAAAGCGGUCUUCUGGUACAUACCUGAGGCUGGGGUACGAAAGCGUGGGGAGCAAACGAGAUUAGAAACCCUGGUAGUCC
RNAcentral lists this ribosomal RNA (425 nucleotides) under uncultured bacterium. RNAcentral describes it as "partial 16S ribosomal RNA". It matches the Rfam family "Bacterial small subunit ribosomal RNA", at positions 354 to 796 of the family's 1533-position model. The record is from RNAcentral.